This 1581-nucleotide unclassified non-coding RNA is filed under the name Hevea brasiliensis (rubber tree). The record is from RNAcentral. Lineage: Eukaryota; Viridiplantae; Streptophyta; Magnoliopsida; Malpighiales; Euphorbiaceae.
GUUCUAGAGUAAAAGAUGACCCAUUAUGAGAAUUUAUACAUGGUGAAUCCUAAAUAGGUAGCAUGUUUACCAUUACAUAAGUACAAGUUAGAAUAUAAGCUGCACUUUAGCCUUAGCUUAGCAAUUAAUGUCUAGAAUUACCAGAGAGCAUCGUUUUAAGUCCUUGAAAUAGAUGAAGACAUUUAAAUUUCCCUACGUGAGUUUCAUAUGUAUGCACAAGCCUAGCCAAUUCUUAAUGUAAAGAUAUACCUGUAAUUAUGGACUAGAUUAGGAAGAUUUGAUUGUGCCCAAUUAGUGCAGCUGUAUGCAUAAUAUCUCCAGUUUUAGUUUUUCUAACAUGUAUUUAUACUCCCAAUAUGCUUGAGGAAAUAAUUAAGCAUUUUUAUUCCCAUUCUUCUUUUUCUACAUUUUAUCAAAGCCUGGGUUUGAGUCCCUUCACUGAAUUCUUUUCUUCUUAUGUUCUUCAAAAAGUAACCUAGUUUCAAGUCUAAAAAAUAGACCCAAGAAAGACCCUUUUACUACCCAUAUCAUAUAUCAACCCUUUUGUCACAUCUACCACCCCAAAAUCAAGCACCAAUCACUGGCGAUCCUUGUCUCCGAAUAAACGCUGCUGGAGUAGCCAGCGCGUGGUCCAACACACCUCCUUUUCUUUCUGAUGCAAGCCCACGCACCGGCUUGUGAGCCUAUUGAUGAAAGAUAUUGAUAUUUAAGAGAAUUUUUUGUGUAUUUCUUGAUGAUAAAAAAUGAUAUACAAGGCUCUUAUUUAUGUACAAAGACUCAAACCUAAAUACGAUGCUAAUUAUAGUAGUAAAAUACAAUUAAUGUCUAAUAAACUGCAUUCCUAAAAUCAAAGGAUUCCAACACUCCCCUCAAGUUGGUUCAUGGAUAUCACACAUGCUCAACUUGCAAAAUAAAGUGUGGAAUACUUUGCUACUUAGACCCUUUAUAAAUACAUCAGCCCACGACUCCUUUAAAGUCACAUAAUUCAUAGUCAAUGAACCAUCUAUAAUCUUCUCCUUUAUGAAGUGCCGAUCAAUCUCUAUGUGCUUGGUCCUAUCAUGUUGUACUAGAUUGUGGACAAUAUUAAUAGCAGCUUUGUUGUCACAAAAUAAACAUAAACUAUUAGUCUCUGACAACAUCAACUCCUCCAUCAACUUCCACAACUACAAUAGCUCACAUAUGCCUUGCGCCAUGGCCCUAUAUUCUACUUCUACUUUUGAUCGAGCAGUCACAUUUUAUUUUUUUCCUUCUUCAAGUAAUUAGGUUACCACCAACAAGGUGCAAUAACCUGAUGUAGACAUCCUAUCAUCAAGCGAUUCAGCCCAAUCUGCAUCUGCAAAGACUUUUAUCUAGAAAUGACCAUGCUUUGAAAAAAAAUAUAUAUAUUUUCCAGGAGCAGAUUUUAGAUACCUCAAUAUCCAAAAAAUAGCUUCUAAGCGAGAUGCUUGAGAAUCAUGCAUACAUUGACUCACUAGACUUACUGCAUAAGCUAUGUCUACUCUAGUGUGUGAGAGAUAAAUUAAUCUCCUAACCAACCUUCGAUAUCUUCAUACUUCUGUUUUAGCAGAUGUAACCGUCUUU